GCUCAGAACGAACGCUGGCGGCGUGCCUAACACAUGCAAGUCGAGCGGCAGCGCGGGGCAACCUGGCGGCGAGUGGCGGACGGCUCAGCAAUAUUUGGGAAUCUGCCUAUUAGUGGGGGACAACCCGGGGAAACUCGGGCUAAUACCGCAUACGCACUACGGUGGAAAGCCGGGGAUCGCAAGACCUGGCGCUAAUAGAUGAGGGGGAAUCGGAUUAGCUAGUUGGCGAGGUAAUGGCUCAGCAAAGCGACGAUCCGUAGCUGGUUUGAGAGAACGACCAGCCACUCCUCUUCUGAGACACGAUCCGGACUCCUACGGGA
Molecule: ribosomal RNA, 320 nt
Filed under: uncultured bacterium
Lineage: Bacteria
Description: bacterial SSU rRNA
Rfam family: Bacterial small subunit ribosomal RNA
Source: RNAcentral